RNAcentral lists this ribosomal RNA (550 nucleotides) under uncultured bacterium. Its description in RNAcentral is "bacterial SSU rRNA". It matches the Rfam family "Bacterial small subunit ribosomal RNA", at positions 355 to 896 of the family's 1533-position model. The record is from RNAcentral.
UGGGGAAUCUUCCGCAAUGGACGAAAGUCUGACGGAGCAACGCCGCGUGAGUGAUGACGGCCUUCGGGUUGUAAAGCUCUGUUAAUCGGGACGAAUGGUUCUUGUGCGAAUAGUGCGAGGAUUUGACGGUACCGGAAUAGAAAGCCACGGCUAACUACGUGCCAGCAGCCGCGGUAAUACGUAGGUGGCAAGCGUUGUCCGGAAUUAUUGGGCGUAAAGCGCGCGCAGGCGGAUCAGUCAGUCUGUCUUAAAAGUUCGGGGCUUAACCCCGUGAUGGGAUGGAAACUGCUGAUCUAGAGUAUCGGAGAGGAAAGUGGAAUUCCUAGUGUAGCGGUGAAAUGCGUAGAUAUUAGGAAGAACACCAGUGGCGAAGGCGACUUUCUGGACGAAAACUGACGCUGAGGCUCGAAAGCGUGGGGAGCGAACAGGAUUAGAUACCCUGGUAGUCCACGCCGUAAACGAUGAGUGCUAGGUGUUGGAUCCUUUCCGGGAUUCAGUGCCGCAGCUAACGCAUUAAGCACUCCGCCUGGGGAGUACGACCGCAAGGUUG